AGCAGGAUCAGAUGUUACGCUGGAGCUUUUCGGUGAGCUCCCCACUGAAGAAGAUAGACUACUCGAGACCGAAACACCAUCUAUCUUGUUUGCAUACACGGUUUGGUUCUUUCUCAUCGCCUCCAUCUCUUGCCCAGUCGGCACAAAGGUUCUAGACCGGUACUUCUUUGCCCCCUCGUCUCCACCAUCGGUAUGGUUGUAGAGUACAUAAUCGUGAUAAGUAGGAGCAAACUGCAAUAACAACCAAUCAUCAUCAGAAGGCACAAAAUGAAAACGUAAAAUCGUUCAAAACAAGAUGUCAAGAUCAGUUACUUACCUGGUGGACAGUGUCAUGGUAGAAGUCAUUUAGCUUCACAGCGUGUGAUAAGCUCCCUGAGAAGCUGCCGGCUCCACCAACAUUGGCACCUGCAUACUCCUUGUAUGGGAAAGCAUAGAAAUGGCAUGCUGCAGCAAUAAGCAUCUCCACACAUAUUAUGAAAUUUUGAAAAUGAGCCGCUUCCUCUGCGGUCUGUAUGAAUCCAGACUUUGCAGCAAGAAAGACAAGAACACCCUGUUCAAAGGAAGAGAGUCAUAUAACACAAAAGUCAAGAGUUGUAUUAACUAACAUCAAAAUAAAAGCAGUGAAUGAAUGAAUGUAGUACUUGUUUGGUGGGUUAUAAAUCGAAAUUACUCCGUUUAUGAGGUCACUUUAUCGAAAACAAUAAAACUAAUUACUAGUACUAUAGCUUAGAAGAUACACAUUCAUUGAAUCAGAAGACAUUUUCUAGUAGUGGAAAACGUGAAAAUAAUACGUAUCAUCCAAGACAAAUAGUUCAGAGAAUUUUAAGAGAAUGUACCCUUUUUGUUGGUAUAGAUUACUUUUUAUAAAAAGAGUGACAAUAUAAAAAGAUGUGCUCAUAAAAAAAAUUCUACUAUACAAAUACUACUAAUUUUGAUAUAAUAACUCCUUUUAACUUUUUGUGGUCACACAAGAAGAUGAAAUAGUUUAUGUUUGGUGGAGCAUAGUAAGUGUAAGUUAGGUUUGUGAAGAUGUGACAUCGGGAAUUAUAGAAAGGAUAUGCCUAACUCCUUUGCAUUUACUAUGCUUGGUUUUUGUCAAAUACCAACCAUCCUAAGACCAAGACAUCUCUUAUGCAAUAAUGUCACAAGUGUAAGUCAGGUACACAAGUUCCUCAUCUGCUCCGUAGCCUUUAGCCGUCAAGGAGUGUCAAGAACUUUGUUGUUUAUUACCAUGCUCUCAAAUUUAAAAUGCCAAGAACACACAACAUGUAGACAGACUUUUAAAGAUGCUCCAAACUCAUCUAGUUACAUGUAUAUUCGAAGCAUGUUACUCAGCUGCUAAACAAUUCACAAGCUUGAGAAGCAAUUAAAGACAAGUUUCAAGCCCUAGUAUAUCUACACAGCAGGCAAGGACAAGAAACAUGCUUAGUAGAAGACUCAUCACAUAAAGCUACAAGAGCUCAAGGCAAACGGGUUUACAAGCUUUCCUCAAGUUCCCUACUAACAUCUUCCAACUAAGAACACACCUCAGAAGAUUCAUCUGAAUCCAGCUUUCUACAUCUUCUUCUUUCUGCUUCUAUCUAGGCCCCACUUUCACUUGCUGAGGGGACGUUGCUGGGGAAACUAGAUAUAUCAAUGUCAAUGAGCGACAUAUCAUACAUUGUAUCAAGAGAAUCCAAUCCAUCAACAAGCAACGAAGAUUUCGCAGCAGGAUCAGAUGUUACGCUGGAGCUUUUCGGUGAGCUCCCCACUGAAGAAGAUAGACUACUCGAGACCGAAACACCAUCUAUCUUGUUUGCAUACACGGUUUGGUUCUUUCUCAUCGCCUCCAUCUCUUGCCCAGUCGGCACAAAGGUUCUAGACCGGUACUUCUUUGCCCCCUCGUCUCCACCAUCGGUAUGGUUGUAGAGUACAUAAUCGUGAUAAGUAGGAGCAAACUGCAA
Molecule: long non-coding RNA, 1943 nt
Filed under: Brassica napus (rape)
Lineage: Eukaryota; Viridiplantae; Streptophyta; Magnoliopsida; Brassicales; Brassicaceae
Description: long non-coding RNA (BNAP_LNC020596)
Source: RNAcentral